This 483-nucleotide ribosomal RNA is filed under the name Zoogloea sp. S22201. Its description in RNAcentral is "bacterial SSU rRNA". It matches the Rfam family "Bacterial small subunit ribosomal RNA", at positions 30 to 508 of the family's 1533-position model. Lineage: Bacteria; Pseudomonadati; Pseudomonadota; Betaproteobacteria; Rhodocyclales; Zoogloeaceae. The record is from RNAcentral.
AUUGAACGCUGGCGGCAUGCCUUACACAUGCAAGUCGAACGGCAGCGCGGGGCAACCUGGCGGCGAGUGGCGAACGGGUGAGUAAUAUAUCGGAACGUACCCUGGAGUGGGGGAUAACGUAGCGAAAGUUACGCUAAUACCGCAUACGAUCUAAGGAUGAAAGCAGGGGACCGCAAGGCCUUGUGCUCCUGGAGCGGCCGAUAUCUGAUUAGCUAGUUGGUGGGGUAAAGGCCUACCAAGGCAUCGAUCAGUAGCUGGUCUGAGAGGACGACCAGCCACACUGGAACUGAGACACGGUCCAGACUCCUACGGGAGGCAGCAGUGGGGAAUUUUGGACAAUGGGCGAAAGCCUGAUCCAGCAAUGCCGCGUGAGUGAAGAAGGCCUUCGGGUUGUAAAGCUCUUUUGUCAGGGAAGAAACGGUGAGGGCUAAUAUCCCUUGCUAAUGACGGUACCUGAAGAAUAAGCACCGGCUAACUACGUGC